GUCCCACUUGACUCUACAAAUGCUUCGAAGCGUUUGAUUGACCAAUCGAAACAAAGAUUUUUACGAAUUGACCAAUCAAAGAAUGCUUCGAAACGUUUGUAGCGUAACCUCCCAGCUUCCCACUGCCAUCAAUAGUCCUUUAUAUGUCAAUGGCGUAUAUGCUUUAUGUACUCGCGCGCAAACGGAGCAAAUUUCCACAUGUUUUUUUUACGUACGCAAACGUCAGGGUUUAGCUAACGCAUGAGAACUAUUUAGUGUAGAGAAAACGGUUUUUAUGCAAGAACGUUUACGGAUAUAGUGUGGUAAAAUGAGUAAAAAACGCAAUAGACAACCGGACGCAAAUCCCGAUGUCAGCGAAGCUUCCACUGAGUCCUGUGAGGAGGCAAGCGCAGGACGAUUGACGCCGGCAACCGUUCAGGGUUAUAGUAUAACUAACAAACAUCCCUCCCCCCCCAGUCUGGGAUUUUGGGCGGUGCUGUGGACGAAGCAGCAAGAAGAAGAAAUCGCUCUGGGGUCCAGAGACCCCUGUACAAAAUGUCCACACAUAGCAAAGGCUAUCAAUUUGAACAAAGUGAAGAAGAACAUAAAAAAGAUUGGUAUACUGAGUGAAUGUUCUAUGUGCAAAAAACUGGAAGCAGAUCUCAAGAUGGAAGAAAUUAGUGAUAUUUCGAAAUUACUGUGGAUCUGCCUGCAAUGUGGGGAGCAAGGCUGUGGUAAAGAACAGAAACAGCAUGCCAUUGAGCAUUAUAGGAAACCUCACAGCGACUGCCACUGCAUGGUGACAGAUUCUCACCAUUGGAGUGUUUGGUGCUACCAGUGUGAAAUUGAAGUUCAUCCUAACAGUAGGAAGAAGCUGCUGGAAAUUGUAGAGUUUAUCAAAAAGUGUGUCAAUAUACCACAAAUAUCUCAGCAAUCGAAAAUGCCAGCAAUUCAGUACCAAAAAGAACUAAUAGUUGAUGUACGGGAGAAAGAGAAACAUAGAAUAUUAAACAAUCUUCCUAAAGUUGGGGGUUUGGCAAAUCUAGGAAACACCUGUUUCUUCAAUGCUGUACUUCAGUGUUUAGCGCAAACACCUUAUUUAGUGAAGGUGCUGGAUGACUUACGUUUGCCCGGACAAAAAUUUGUCUUACCUGGUGGAAAACAUAAACCUGCCGAUGCUGAGGAUGAAGAAGAAUUGCCACCAAUUGAAGGGACCUUGGAACGGUGGGGCAGUUUUACAUCGAUUCUAUGUGAAACUCUGUCGAAAAUGCAAAACACCAGCGGCCAUCAAACUUAUACUCCUUUGAAUCUUCUCUGUAAGCUCAGGAAGAAGACUACGCAAUGUGUGGAUGGUGGACAACAUGAUUCACAUGAGUUUCUCCGACAUUUAUUAGAAAUAGUUCGAAAUGAGGAUCUCAGAAGGUACCAGAGCAUAAUUUUGAAGGAGGUUGGUCUAAGUGAAAAAACUAAACCGGAUUGCGUGGAAAAGGGCUUGAAAUCUCGCGUGAAAUUUUACGGCAAUCAGGCCAGCACACGAUUGCUGGGACCGGAAGCGGUAUUCCGUGGCGUGCUGGUAUCUACUCUGGAAUGCCUGGAUUGUCAUCACUCAUCGCAACGCACUGAGCCAUUCUUAGAUUUGAGUCUGCCCGUCAUGGCGGACAAGCCGCAACCUCCACAGUUGAAGAGAAAGAACAGUGAAUUUGAGGAUGCCUUUGAUAUGAUGAAUAUUCAGCAGCGUGACUAUCAAACUACCGAUACGUCAUGGAAACAAUUGAAGAAAGAGAAAAAAGCCGCCAGGAAAAAUCGAAAGAAUAAAAGGCAUGAAAACUAUAACAAUUCUAACGCGUUAACGGACCUGAAUAAUCCCACGGAAGAAAACAAUGAUAACAUAUUGAAGUCAGAAGAAAGCGACGCUGAUAUAGAAGAUAACAUCGAGGUGGACAAUUCUCAUCCAGAGAUUGGAGAGUCCGGUUAUAGCUCAGAGAAAGCAUCCGCCGUCACCAGUCCUGUGUCUCCCGCUGACCAUCAUCAUCAUCUGAACGACUUCAAUAGUGCUGUUAACCCGGAGGAUAAUCUAGAUAAUAAUUUGGACUCGGCACAAGUUAGACACCCAGGGAACAUUAACGCAUUAAUUAGCUCUAGUCCAACCAAUGUGUCGAUGACAGACUUGACUCAAAUCAAGAUCAGAAUGUCAUCUGAGAAGACUGACAGAAAUAUCGGCACGGUCAAUUCCGAGACUGAAGCGUCAGCCGCGGUAUUGACCGACUCCAUGAUUGUCAAUUCCGACGUCACAAGCCUUGAGGUACCCACUGUGAGUCUAAAUAGCUCCAUCGCUUCUAAGGAGAGUCCUACUAGCCCUAUCAACGACGAGGAAGUCACAGAAAGAUUAGACAGUGUUGAGGCAUGGAUGGCAACUGCUUUAACAAGGUACAAUAAAAAGAAGUAUAAUAAUGGAACUGUUAAUGGAGACGAUUGCAAAGAGCAAGACGCAUAUAAUGAGCUCGGUGAUAUAAUGAUGGGAAUGUCCAAAUUGGGAAUUGCUGGACAUCAGUCGCCUGGCAGGUACACAACCAAGGAGGACGAAUGUUCCAUAGAAUCGUGUUUGAAUCAAUUCACUGCGUUGGAGUUGAUGACGGGAAGCAAUAAAGUUGUGUGUGAAGCGUGCACAGCUCGCGAGAAGAAGAAUCAAGAAGGGUCGUCAAAAAUGAUAUGCACUUCGAGUACCAAACAAUACCUCGUCUCUCAAGUACCUCCGAUACUGAUAUUGCAUUUGAAGAGAUUCCAAACGCAGAGAGUCGGCUUUCGAAAAGUUUUCAAGCAUGUGUCGUUUCCGAUAUUACUGGAUUUGGCACCAGUUUGCAUAAAUCGCAAGAAACCUCGACUUUAUGCGCUUUAUGGAGUUGUCGAGCACAGUGGAACUGUACAUGGUGGUCACUACGUUGCUUAUGUCAAGACGAGACUACCAUUAUCAUCAGACGAUCCUCGGUGGAAAUUUCUGCCCAAGGACAAAGAUUCCAAAACGGAUAACGAAUCAAGUAGCUCAGAAUCGGAAGGAGAAGCAUCGGCAAAAACUGUAUCCGUCAUAGAACCGCCGCCUGGAAGAUGGUAUUAUGUAUCAGAUUCUCGGGUAUCAGAAGUAGAUGAAAGUACAGUGCUACAAAGUCAAGCGUAUCUCUUGUUCUACGAAAGAAUUCUCUGAUUUGAUGGACCGAAGCAGAAUGAAGAUCAACAUAAUUGCAUUUCCGAUUUUCGAGAAACAGAAAACAGACUUACAAUGAAUUUAUUAAUUCUAUAAUUUUUAGUAUCACAUCGCGCGUUAUCAGAUGUAUAUGUAAUUAAUUAUGUGUAUAUUGCAAGAAAUCUGUAAUCUAUUAGAACUAUUGAAAACUUAUUUUUUAUGAAAGUUGUUGUUUACGGUCGAUUAGCAGCACAUCGCGACAAUUAUCAUUAAAAAAUGUCCUUUUAUAAAUGUUUUACAAAAGUUUAACUCAAUUGUUAGAAAAUCUGAAUUUCAAACCUUAGAAUUUUCAGAUUUUUAGAAAUAUUUUUAGCAAUAUUAGUAAAAUUGAAAUUACUUGGCAAUGCUCUUUCCUUUGUAAAUUAUCCAUUGAAUAAUAUUCAUUGAAUAAUCCAUUGAAUAAACUUCAAUAUAAAACAAUAAAAUUAUUAGCAUAAUAAUAUGCUAAUAUUAUUAGUAUAUGUAAUAAUAAUUACAAGAUAGCGUAAUACUUAAGAAGAUUGUAUGAAUUUCAAUUCUUGUUUGAGUUCAUAGAAACACUAUGAGGAUAUGACACCAAAUAAAAAGAAAUUUUUUUUUAUGUAAUAAACAUACUUUUAUUACAAAUAGUUCCAGUUUAUAUUUAUUUUUUAAUAUUGAGUUUUAAUAUUUUAAAUAUUGAGUUAGUAUAAUAUACAUUUUAAAUGCUCGUUAUUUAAUUAAAAGACACGUGUGAAUUAAAAUGGUUGAACUUUUUAUACUAUGAAGCAAUAAAGUAUUAAAUGGAAGUCAAAUAAACAUACAAUAGAUCUGUCACAACUGCCUGGAAUCAAUUCAGUUUUCCCUAAAAUGUAUUGUACACAUAAAAAUAAGACUUAUGUAUUUUUUAUGAGAUCUGCAAAUAGAUAUAUAAUACAUAUAACGAAUAUACAUAAUAACAUUAUGUAUAAUACAUAAAAACGAAUAGAAAAAAAUUAGAUUUUGAUACAGUUCCUACUUUUUUGUAUUUUCAAAAUUUUAUUUCAGUUCUAUUACUUCUCCGGCUGAAACGUUUAAAAGUUGGUGAAAGGAGAAAUCCAUGUAGUUACGAUGUGAAAUUUGCUAUUGUAAACGCUUUAAAGUGUCUGUAGUGGAUCAUACUUAAAACGUUUUGAAGUAAGUGCAUUUAAUGGAUUGCAUUCUAAAGGCCAUUUCUCUUUAAGAAACUACCAUUAUAUUAUCCCCCUCCCCUGAAAAAAUUUAAUAUGUAUUUUUUAAUAAACGGUGAGAAAAAUCGGUAAAAAAGUUAAUUUUUAAAAAAAUAUAUAGCAAUAGUAAAAAUUUUGAAAAAAAAUUUUUAAGAAUUAGUUUCUGGAAGGAAAAAAGUUCCUCUUUACGAAAAAAAAGUCUGCUCAAUGUAGAAUGAAAGCAGAUAUCCAAUUUCAGCAUAUGAAAAUUUGAAUUUUUCGAGGAUAAUAAAUAGCGUUGUAAAAUAGAGAAACAUCAAUAAACCAACAAUUUUUUUUCAGCUUAAAGUUUUAACAAAUUAUUAUUUAAUACAUAGUAAAAACACAAAAUUUUCUUAUAAAAAUAGAAAAAGAACAGUUUAAAAGCAGUCGCGACAGCAAUUUAAACGAUGAUCAUUGCAAACGGUUGAUUCUUUUUAUCAUUUUUAUAUAAAUAAUAAAAACAUCUUUUUUUUUAUUAGUUAAUGUCCAAUCUUCUCAAUAUUUGCUGAAUGCUAAAUUUUAAUUGGUCUGCUUAAAGUCUUAAAGUAUUCUGGAUUUCUAAUGGAUCUCCAUUGUAGAUAUUCAAUUUAAAAUAUAUACAUAAUUAUGUUGUAAAAUGCAUGUACGUGUUCGAAAAUACUUAAUUAGCAAAACAAAUUUUUUUUCGAAGUUAUUUUUACUUACGUAAUCCCUACCUAUGGGUCGAAAACGUCCUAUUCGAAUUUUACCUGGCUGGCGUUUGGAAUAGAACAAACGGACCGGGCACUGGCCUUGGCACUGAAACCCUUCCCCUCCUAAGUUUUUUUUUUAGUACAACUUUGAUAGCGCUAGCAUCGCGGUUGCACGAAAAAUUAAGGAUAAUAGUUUUAAGUAGGACGAAAACUACCUAUAUAGAUAGGGAUUGAGGGAUAAGUAUGUUAAGUUUCAUUCAAAUCGGUGAGCGUCAGUUGGGUAGAGUUACUUGUCAGAUUUAUUGCUUUAAAUUAUUAACGAUGAUUCAAAUUCUGCUAAUUCCAAUUUCAAAUUUUGUAACUUCCUAGUCACACACGUCUGAGUUGGCUGAAACAAUUUGCGAACAAAGAUUUACAACAAUAUGGAAACAAAACACGUUAGAAUUAUUACAUUUCUUAGUGAAAAAUUUGACUGCGUUAAAUCAUAAAAUUAAAAUAUGAAAAACAUGCGAUAAAUAUAGAUAAAUUAAUUAUAUGUAUAACACUACAGGUGAUCAAAAUCAAAUGCAUCGAAACGUUUGUACACUUUGUAAGUUUUAGCAACAUAAAAUAUAUUAGCAAAUAAGACCUUAGCGUUGGCUUAAAAAACGUUUGAAUAAUUUAAUAAAAUAAAUAUUUUAUUUAUACCAUUAGUUUCAAAUAAAUAAUAUAUAAUAAAUAUAGGACUUGGUCAAGAAGUGUAAGAGCGAAUGAUCGUGUGGUGGUGAUAGUGCGUGGAUAGGAUAGAGUUAAGUAGGUAUUUAAAGAUUUAGAAUGAAAAAAUAGAAGUGAAUAGAUUUGUUUUUUAUUCCUGCACUGCUACACUAGUGUAAUAAGUUAGAAUGAGAAAAAAUAUAUUUGUCUUAUUCUAACUUAUUGCAGCAGUGCAGGAAUAAAAAACAGACCUAAUGAGAAGGGAGAACAAUAAAGUUGCUGGGGAAUUGAAGAAAAAGCGAUAGAAGCAGGAAGAAAGGAUAGUAGACGGGCAGAAAGAUCGCGGCUAGGGAGGUUAGGGGAUGCGAACGCGGGAAAAUGUCUACAGAAGGGAGAGAAGAAAAAAGAUAAAGGAGGAUAGAAAAGGGCUAAAGAAUCCGGAUAAGAGAGCAUUAAGUAAGGUAAAAAGAGAGUACAGGAAAGAGUGGAUUCAGAUCACAACCCCUAGGCGAUGAAAUUGAAAAGCAGAAAGAAAAGGAGGAAAGGACUGCAGAAAGAAGAUCAAGAAUAAGAGAGGACGAUGAAGCAGAGCAUAUACAAGGAAGAGCGAAAUAGACAAAUGAAGGAGACCCUGGAUAACGAAACAAUAGAAUUCUGGAAGAAAUUAUAGGAGACGAUCCAGAAAGCAACAAUAAAAAUAGGCGUACAAGAAAGAAAAGGAAUAGAUUACAAGGUCUGGUAAAAUAGAUGCUGUACAAAAGAGAAGAGGAAAAUGUAAGAUUUUAAAGAGGCGAAAGAAAGAGUUACGAGAGAGGAUCAAUUAGAAAAGAAGAGUAAACUAAAGAGCUUUCUGGACAAGAAGCAAGAUAAAAGAAAUGAAGGAAGGAGAGAAAAUAGAUUUUUAAGUCUGAAAAGGCAAUGAAAUUGUGAAAUACAUAACUAGGGAAA
This 6716-nucleotide unclassified non-coding RNA is filed under the name Monomorium pharaonis (pharaoh ant). Its description in RNAcentral is "ubiquitin carboxyl-terminal hydrolase 45, transcript variant X2". The record is from RNAcentral. Lineage: Eukaryota; Metazoa; Arthropoda; Insecta; Hymenoptera; Formicidae.